RNAcentral lists this ribosomal RNA (292 nucleotides) under Poecilochaetus sp. GF-6340_16207. Its description in RNAcentral is "partial large subunit ribosomal RNA". The record is from RNAcentral. Lineage: Eukaryota; Metazoa; Annelida; Polychaeta; Spionida; Poecilochaetidae.
GAAGGAAAUUAGCCUGUUAUCCCUAUGGUAGUUAUUUCUUUUAAUCGCUUCUGCGGAUCAUUAAAUAGGAUUAUAUCCUUAAACUUUAAGGAAGAUUUAUUCUUUUCCUCAGUCGCCCCAACUAAAUUACUUUUGACUUAAGAAAUUUAUUUUAUUAUAGGUUAAAGCUUAUGCAAUAAAACUCAAUAGGGUCUUUUUGUCUUUUUAUAGUAUUUAGGCUUUUUCACCUAAAGAUUAAUUUUUAUUUAUAGAGAAGAGACAGCUUUACUCUCGUAUGUUCCUUCAUUCCAGC